GGAGGAAGAGAAACCAACUGGGAUUCCCCCAGUAACGGCGAGCGAACGGGGAAGAGUCCAGCGCCGAAGCUCGCUCCCCCGUGCGGGGCGCGAGCAAUGUGGCGUUCGGGAGGGAGCGCGCUCGGGGAAGACGGCGGGCAGCAAGUCCCCCUGACCGGGGCUCUUGCCCAGAGCGGGUGCGAGGCCCGUCGCUGCCCGGUCCUCCCCGAGAGGCGACCUCCCCGGAGUCGGGUUGCUCGGGAGUGCAGCUCCAAGCGGGUGGUAAACUCCACCUAAGGCUAAACACGGCCGCGAGACCGAUAGCAAACAAGUACCGUGAGGGAAAGUUGCAAAGAACUUUGAAGAGAGAGUUCAAGAGUACGUGAAACUGCUCAGAGGCAAACGAGUGGGCCCUCGAAAUCCGCCCGCGGGGGGAUUCAGCCGGGAGCGGCAGGCGAGCGCGGGACGCGGACCGUCACGAGGACGGCCGCGUCUUCCGCGAGAGCCGAUCGCGCCCGACGCACUUCCCCCCGCGCUCAGGACGCCGCGUCGAAUCGGGAGUCGGCCUUGCGUCGGCCCGACCGCGAAGGCGCGGCCCCCGUCCGGGGGCAUGCGGUGACUCAGCGGGGCCGGUCGCGGCGCGACGCCCGAUCGCCGACGGAGAGUCGCCACUGGCGACCUCGUCUCCUGACCAUGGUCGCGGGGCCCCGGGCCACUGUGCACCGCCGCCAUGCCGAGUCACCCCAGUGCGGUGGCCGGCGCGGAGGACCGCCGAGGCUGGGCCCGGGUGCAACCCGCGGAGGGAGAGACGCUCGCGGCGAGUAGGUCGGUCACCCACCCGACCCGUCUUGAAACACGGACCAAGGAGUCUAGCAUGUGCGCGAGUCGCAGGGUCUUGCUCAGGCCCGCGGGCGCAGUGAAAGUGAGGGCCCCCAUCAGCGGGGCCGGGCUGGGACUCCCCUUCCCUAGGGAGGCACCAGCGGCCCGCCCCUGUUCCGGCCAGCCGGCGGGGCGGAGCCAGAGCGCACACGCUGGGACCCGAAAGAUGGUGAGCUAUGCCUGGGCAGGGCGAAGCCAGAGGAAACUCUGGUGGAGGCUCGCAGCGGUUCUGACGUGCAAAUCGAUCGUCAGACCCGGGUAUAGGGGCGAUAGACCAAUCGAAUCAUCUAGUAGCUGGUUCCCUCCGAAGUUUCUCUAAGGAUAGCUGGCGCUCGGAGAGAUAUGACAGUCUCAUCCGGUAAAGCGAAUGACUAGAGGCCUUGGGGCCGAAACGACCUCAACCUAUUCUCAAACUUUAAAUGGGUGAGCGGCCGGCUUGCUCGAUCGAAGCCCGGACGACGUAUCCCCGGAUGCGAGUGCCAAGUGGGCCACUUUUGGUAAGCAGAACUGGCGCUGUGGGAUGAACCAAACGCCGGGUUAAGGCGCCCGAUGCGAGACGCUCACGAGAACCCAUGAAAGGUGUUGGUCGCUACAGACAGCAGGACGGUGGCCAUGGAAGUCGGAAACCGCCAAGGAGUGUGUAACAACUCACCUGCCGAAGCAACCAGCCCUGAAAAUGGAUGGCGCUCCAGCGUCGAGCCCAUACCCGGCCGCCGCGGCAGACAUAUAUAUAUAGCUUUAGGCCGCGGCGAGUAGGAGGGUCGCGGCGGCGAGCGCUGAAGGUGCCGGGCGCGAGCCCGCCUGGAGCCGCCGCCGGCGCAGAUCUUGGUGGUAGUAGCAAAUACUCGAGUGAGAGCCUCGAGGACUGAGGUGGAGAAGGGUUCCAUGUGAACAGCAGUUGAACAUGGGUCAGUCGGUCCUAAGGGAUCGGACAAGUCCGUUCUGAAGGGGGGCCUCUAGCCAGAGGGAGAGCCCCCGCGGACCGAAAGGGAAUCGGGUCAAUAUUCCCGAACCCGGACGCGGAGAUCGGGCCCCCGGGCCCGAGCGCGGCGACGCAACCGAACUCGGAGAAGUCGACGGGAGUCCCGGGAAGAGUUGUCUUUUCUUUGUAAGGGUCCGGCUCCCUGGAAUCGGCUCGUCCGGAGAUAGGGACGCUGGCACCCGUAAAGCACCGCGGCUCUUGCGGUGUCCGGAGUGCUCCCGUCGGCCCUUGAAAAUCCGAGGGAGGCAGUGUGAUUUUCGCGCCGGGCCGUACCCAUAUCCGCAGCAGGUCUCCGAGGU
This 2139-nucleotide ribosomal RNA is filed under the name Pholcidae sp. Dominican Republic GH2. Its description in RNAcentral is "eukaryotic LSU rRNA". It matches the Rfam family "Eukaryotic large subunit ribosomal RNA", at positions 52 to 1873 of the family's 3401-position model. The record is from RNAcentral. Lineage: Eukaryota; Metazoa; Arthropoda; Arachnida; Araneae; Pholcidae.